AGCUCUGGUGGCCAAGUGGUUAGAGCGUCCGCCUCGGAUACGGGAGGUAGUGGGUUCGAACCCCGGUUGGGUCA
Potamilus streckersoni is the source of this 74-nucleotide non-coding RNA. Lineage: Eukaryota; Metazoa; Mollusca; Bivalvia; Unionida; Unionidae. The record is from the annotation of a GenBank genome assembly.